This 243-nucleotide unclassified non-coding RNA is filed under the name Hevea brasiliensis (rubber tree). The record is from RNAcentral. Lineage: Eukaryota; Viridiplantae; Streptophyta; Magnoliopsida; Malpighiales; Euphorbiaceae.
UGAAGAACUACCAUUGUCAAUUGUACAUCUCACUGGCCUUGUCCUAUUGAAUCUGGAAAACUGCAAAAAACUUAUCAUUCUUCCAAGCAGCAUUUGUGACCUCAAUUCUCUUGAAACCCUCACUCUUUCUGGCUGCUCAAAACUUAAGUUGCCAGAGAAGUUUGGAAAUGAGAUGCUAGCCCUCCCACAUCAACAUGGGGGUGCAAGGAUGAUUCGGAGUAUUUUCAAACGAGACAAAAAUAG